Molecule: transfer RNA, 73 nt
Filed under: Couchioplanes caeruleus subsp. caeruleus
Lineage: Bacteria; Bacillati; Actinomycetota; Actinomycetes; Micromonosporales; Micromonosporaceae
Also listed under: 1 other name
Rfam family: tRNA
About the family: Transfer RNA (tRNA) molecules are approximately 80 nucleotides in length. Their secondary structure includes four short double-helical elements and three loops (D, anti-codon, and T loops). Further hydrogen bonds mediate the characteristic L-shaped molecular structure. tRNAs have two regions of fundamental functional importance: the anti-codon, which is responsible for specific mRNA codon recognition, and the 3' end, to which the tRNAs corresponding amino acid is attached (by aminoacyl-tRNA synthetases). tRNAs cope with the degeneracy of the genetic code in two manners: having more than one tRNA (with a specific anti-codon) for a particular amino acid; and 'wobble' base-pairing, i.e. permitting non-standard base-pairing at the 3rd anti-codon position.
Source: Rfam by way of RNAcentral
GCCCUCGUAGCCCAACGGCAGAGGCAACGGUCUGAGGGACCGUCCAGUGCGCGUUCGAGUCGCGCCGGGGGCA